This 577-nucleotide ribosomal RNA is filed under the name uncultured bacterium. Its description in RNAcentral is "bacterial SSU rRNA". It matches the Rfam family "Bacterial small subunit ribosomal RNA", at positions 338 to 916 of the family's 1533-position model. The record is from RNAcentral.
CCUACGGGAGGCAGCAGUAGGGAAUAUUGGGCAAUGGUCGCAAGACUGACCCAGCCAUGCCGCGUGCAGGAAGACGGCCCUCUGGGUUGUAAACUGCUUUUAUCUGGGAAGAAAAAGUCCAUGCGUGGAAAAUUGCCGGUACCAGAUGAAUAAGCACCGGCUAACUCCGUGCCAGCAGCCGCGGUAAUACGGAGGGUGCAAGCGUUGUCCGGAUUUAUUGGGUUUAAAGGGUGCGUAGGCGGCUGAAUAAGUCAGCGGUGAAAGACUUCGGCUUAACCGGAGCAGUGCCGUUGAUACUGUUUAGCUUGAGUGUUGGAGGGGUACAUGGAAUUGAUGGUGUAGCGGUGAAAUGCAUAGAUACCAUCAGGAACACCGAUAGCGAAGGCAUUGUACUGGCCAACAACUGACGCUGAGGCACGAAAGUGUGGGGAUCGAACAGGAUUAGAUACCCUGAUAGUCCACGCCGUAAACUAUGAUUACUCGUUUUCGGCGAUAUACUGUCGGAGACUAAGCGAAAGUGAUAAGUAAUCCACCUGGGGAGUACGAUCGCAAGGUUGAAACUCAAAUGAAUUGACGG